GAGAAAGAUCCAACACCUCUUUUAAAAUUAUGAAUUAUUUUUCAAGCAAAGAUCUUCUUUUGCAAAUUGCAUCUGCAGAAAAGAUCUGAAAGUAGCCAGGGAUGUUUUGUUGACAGAAUGGUUUGAGUCAUUUGACAGAAUAUUUUUCUUUUAUCAACAGAAUCAAAUUAGGGCUUCAACCAAAUUAAUUUUGUUUUGUAUGCAAGUCCUGCCUGACAGGAUAUAUUCAAAGAAAGAGAAAAACACUCUGGAUAUAAAAAAUGUGUCAAUUAGAAGACAGGAGCAUGAAGUCUCCAUAACAAAUUGUUCACUAAAGGGUAAGAAGUGAGUUUCCAGCAUAGAAAGCUUUGUUAAAGAUAUGUUUUGUUUUGAUUUUUUUUUUUUUUUAAUUAAGAAAUCUUGACAGCUUUGUCAACAACAAGAAGUCUUUGCUGUUACUUGUUUCAAGUACUUUUUCCCAAUAUUUAUUAGACACAGGGCAAAAUUCUAGGGAGAACAGAGGAAAGGUAUUUUGAUCACUGCUUCUCAAUUGUAAACACACACAUUUCUCUGGGCUUCUUUUCACUUUGAGACAAAACACUUAGGAAAAAAAUGCAGCAACCUUGUAGGCAGUAGUUAUUUCAUAGGCAAAAAAAGCAACAGCAUAUUAAAAUCUAUUUAACUAAAGAAAGAAACUGGAAUUACCAGUCAGGGGGGAUCAGGAAGGCAUGUGCUGGCCUUGCAGAUUUGAGCAUUCUUGUAUCAGUGAGCAGUGAAAACAUUGAACAACCUUUGGAAAUAGAUGGCAUCUGGGGCAGAGAUAAACUGAGUUUAUCACAGAAAAAGGUUGGAGUUCCAGCAGCAUGUCCAGAACUGGUAUUGGAUCUGCAGCAUUCUACCACCACAAAUAUCUGAGCAAGCUUAGAGAAGGGAGAAGGACUACUAUCAAUAUUUUAUUGUUGUAAUUGCUGUUUCAUUCUGUGAUAGCCUCACCAUCCUCCAGACACUCCCUGGGCCCUCAUCUUUUCUGGAAAAUGUCUGCUGCUUAUCCAUACAGAACUUUUGGGAUGUAAACAGCACCUCUGCCAAUAUUACUUGCAGUUUGGAGCAGGGAUUGAGGGUGUUUUACCAGAGCUGAUUUUCUGCUGCUUUCCAAUCCAUCUGCAAAGCUCAGUUUUCCUUCCAAGAGCACUUCAAAAUGUGUUUCCCUUUAAGCAUGAAUUUCACCCAGUGGAAUGCCAAACAUGCAGAAUUCCCAUCCCAGGGCUUUUACAAACUUCACCUCGUGUUCUGCAGCAUCUCAGUGAAAUAAGCAGCCUGAGAACUAUAAAUGACUGAGGUUCAGAUCAUGGAGAGGGCUUUAGUUGUUCUGGGCCUCUGCUAGAGGGGGAGCAAAAUCCUGCAGGGACUUUUAAACACCUUGGAGAGGUCUGGAGGAAAAUGUUUGCCAGCUUUGCACUGAAAUGUGUGACAGAAAUGUGCACACAAAGUGACCCUGUUAAACCUGACUGUGCCUGCAGCGGGGGAGUGUGCAGAGAAACGUGUCAGCAAUUCUGUGUGACAGCAAAUCCACGCUGGCUGGAGGCUGGAAGAAUAGA
Parus major (Great Tit) is the source of this 1577-nucleotide long non-coding RNA. NCBI's taxonomy places the organism in Eukaryota, Metazoa, Chordata, Aves, Passeriformes, Paridae. The record is from Ensembl.